CACUCCCACUGUACCACCCUUGGUCAAGAGAACCAGGAAAGGCAGGAAAAGAUGCCUGAUGUAUUCAGUGUGACGUAUGCUGCGGUCAUCCUCACAAACCCCAGGCAGAAAGAAUCCAAUGAAGACAGGGUUGACAUCAGAACUGAAUAUGCAGCGAUCAGAACCACACAGUGAUGCCUUGCAUGGGGUGCCUUGUGAUGGACUGGCGUCCCGUCCGGGGUGUGUCCCC
This is a long non-coding RNA of Scleropages formosus (Asian bonytongue), 229 nucleotides long. RefSeq lists it as uncharacterized. The record is from RefSeq and is a predicted model, not a curated record. The transcript is spliced from 3 exons. Lineage: Eukaryota; Metazoa; Chordata; Actinopteri; Osteoglossiformes; Osteoglossidae.